RNAcentral lists this ribosomal RNA (468 nucleotides) under uncultured bacterium. RNAcentral's name for it is "partial 16S ribosomal RNA". It matches the Rfam family "Bacterial small subunit ribosomal RNA", at positions 28 to 507 of the family's 1533-position model. The record is from RNAcentral.
GACGAACGCUGGCGGCGUGCUUAACACAUGCAAGACGAACGGAAAGGCCCUGCUUUUGUGGGGUGCUCGAGUGGCGAACGGGUGAGUAACACGUGAGUAACCUGCCCUUGACUUUGGGAUAACUUCAGGAAACUGGGGCUAAUACCGGAUAGGAGCUCCUGCUGCAUGGUGGGGGUUGGAAAGUUUCGGCGGUUGGGGAUGGACUCGCGGCUUAUCAGCUUGUUGGUGGGGUAGUGGCUUACCAAGGCUUUAACGGGUAGCCGGCCUGAGAGGGUGACCGGCCACAUUGGGACUGAGAUACGGCCCAGACUCCUACGGGAGGCAGCAGUGGGGAAUAUUGCACAAUGGGCGGAAGCCUGAUGCAGCAACGCCGCGUGCGGGAUGACGGCCUUCGGGUUGUAAACCGCUUUCGCCUGUGACGAAGCGUGAGUGACGGUAAUGGGUAAAGAAGCACCGGCUAACUACGUG